This 495-nucleotide ribosomal RNA is filed under the name uncultured bacterium. Its description in RNAcentral is "bacterial SSU rRNA". It matches the Rfam family "Bacterial small subunit ribosomal RNA", at positions 28 to 529 of the family's 1533-position model. The record is from RNAcentral.
GACGAACGCUGGCGGCGUGCUUAACACAUGCAAGUUGGACGGUGCGACAUGGAAGCUUGCUGAAGUGUUGUACAGUAGCGAACGGGUGAGUAAUGCAUGAGAAUCUGCCCUUUGGAGGGGGACAACAGCUGGAAACGGCUGCUAAUACCCCGUAAGCCGGGAGGUGAAAGGUACGCGAGUACUGCCGGGGGAUGAGCUCAUGUCCUAUCAGCUGGUUGGUGGGGUAACGGCCCACCAAGGCGACGACGGGUAGCCGGCCUGAGAGGGUGACCGGCCACACUGGAACUGAGACACGGUCAGACUCCUACGGGAGGCAGCAGUGAGGAAUAUGGUCAAUGGGCGCAAGCCUGAACCAGCCAUCCCGCGUGAAGGAAGAAUGCGCUACGCGUUGUAAACUUCUUUUCCAGGGGAGAAUAAUCCUGUCGUGACAGGACUUGACGGUACUCUGGGAAUAGCAUCGGCUAACUCCGUGCCAGCAGCCGCGGUAAAAGUGUA